CUGCCCUCCACUUCGGGAUAAGCCUUGGAAACGGGGUCUAAUACCGGAUAUGAGCUCGCAUCGCAUGGUGUGGGUUGGAAAGUUUUUCGGUGGGGGAUGGGCUCGCGGCCUAUCAGCUUGUUGGUGGGGUGAUGGCCUACCAAGGCGUCGACGGGUAGCCGGCCUGAGAGGGCGACCGGCCACACUGGGACUGAGACACGGCCCAGACUCCUACGGGAGGCAGCAGUGGGGAAUAUUGCACAAUGGGCGAAAGCCUGAUGCAGCGACGCCGCGUGAGGGAUGACGGCCUUCGGGUUGUAAACCUCUUUCAGCAGGGAAGAAGCGCAAGUGACGGUACCUGCAGAAGAAGCGCCGGCUAACUACGUGCCAGCAGCCGCGGUAAUACGUAGGGCGCAAGCGUUGUCCGGAAUUAUUGGGCGUAAAGAGCUCGUAGGCGGUCUGUCGCGUCUGGUGUGAAAUCCCAAGGCUCAACCUUGGGCGUGCAUCGGGUACGGGCAGACUAGAGUGCGGUAGGGGAGACUGGAAUUCCUGGUGUAGCGGUGGAAUGCGCAGAUAUCAGG
RNAcentral lists this ribosomal RNA (560 nucleotides) under Isoptericola sp. NH89-87. Its description in RNAcentral is "bacterial SSU rRNA". It matches the Rfam family "Bacterial small subunit ribosomal RNA", at positions 126 to 701 of the family's 1533-position model. Lineage: Bacteria; Bacillati; Actinomycetota; Actinomycetes; Micrococcales; Promicromonosporaceae. The record is from RNAcentral.